CAAUAAUACUGAAGUCUCUCUAUUAAGGUUUUUCAAACUGUUUUAACUCCCUCAUUGCCCUUGACUGUUUCUGUUGUCGCUUUGAUUGAAUUGUUUUGCAGUGACUGUUGUUUCCUAUUAGACCAAGUGUUUUAAAAAACUUUUGAUAUUUUUGACAAGCUUCUCUCAAAAUUCAAAUCAUAAGUGAAGUCUUUCUUUUGACCCGAAGGGAAAAAAGUUUUCUUUAAGAAUUUUCAGAGGCCCCUGGGACUACUCAAAGAAAUUUGUUCUCUCUCUUCCUAUAAAGAAAAAGGUGCUAAACUAAUUAGGCUUAUUUGGUAUAUUAAAUUACAUGGGAAGCUUUAUUAAAUAAGUGAUGAUAAACCUUUUUAGGUGGUAUUAUGUGGAUGUUAUUAAUAUAAAUGUUUUAAAAAUUAUAUAACACUCCUAAAAUUCUGAUCUGUCCUGGUUGCCAGCCAUAAUUCUAGUUACUAUCUUGAAGUGUUGUAUGUCACAGAAAUAGCCAAGUUUCUUUUUCAAUUUCCCUUCUGAGUCUUUUGUCACUUGCAGAUAGUUGCUGUUUUACUCUGAUGCUUUUGCAAAUAUGUUUCAUCUUCAGAGAGAUUCAUGGAAAAGACACUGACACUUACUCUAGAAUACAGGUUUCUGAUAAACUUUCAGAUCAUAAAACUGAACUGGGUAAGAAAUUACAGAACUCUAAAUGAGAAACUGAUGACUUCAUGAAACUGCUAACAGAAGGUUAAGAAUCUAUUACACAGGACCGAAUGAACUGAUGAGGCUUAUCCCUCCAGAAUUCGGAAACCCUUAGUGAGCCUUUGACUGGAAUGUCGUAUUUGAGAGAAACAUGCAGACUCAGAUAUGACAAGUCAGCUUUUGAAGAAUAAAGGUCGACUUUAUGGAAUAAAGCCACCUGGAAAUAUUAGCCUGGUCUCUUAGUUACAGGAUUCCAAAAUCACUGAGAACUGAACCUGCCCUUUUUCCUGAAGCCCUACAAACUGAAGCGGGACAUCUUUACAUAAAUUUUAGAGAGGGGCUGGCUUGGUUGCUCAGUGGCUAAGUGCACACAUUCCACUUCAGCAGCCCAGGCUUCGCUGGUUUGGAUCCCGGGUGUGGACGUGGCACCCCUUGAAAAGCCAUGCUAUGGUAGGCAUCCCACAUAUAAAGUAGAGGAAGAUGGGCAUGGAUGUUAGCUCAGGGCUAAUCUUCCUCAAAAAAAAAAAAAAAGGAUUCAUGUUGGUUGCUGUGUAAGCUGCUCUGAAAGAUACCUGAACACCUAAUGACAUCAUCAGAGACAUUUCAAAUUAUAAAAGAGGCCUCAACUCUAACAUCUAGAAAUUCUUUGACUGGCUGAUCCCCGGGCUCAGAAACUGGUCUAUAAUUUGCACUGACCAUUGACCUUUUUUUCCUUGUUGUUUCCCUAGAAAUGCUUCUUAUUAAAUACCUGGUUUCUUGCUUACCCAAUAUAGGCCUAAUUUUGGGAGCCCCCUCACAUCACCUUGCUAAAAGACUGGUUUAAUGAAAUGGAACAACCUACGCCCUUUAUCACUAGGCAGAAGCCCCAACAGUCAUUGGUCUAUGUCCCUUGAGAUUGAGGAAUGAACAACAAAAAGAGGGGAUUUGUAGCUGCAGGCCCUCCAGCACCAGUUCAACUGACCCUCUCUCUUAUCAACAGAGUGAUUAAGAAUUGUCUUAAUCUGCAAAGUCACAUCACCAUGGCAUGUGCAAAAGAAGAAAUCAUGUCCUGAAAUGACCUUGGAACCAACCCACAGAACCCAAGGACUGAGACAUGACCAGAACUUGAAAGUCGGACUUUUACCAGAAGUGAGGGGUCCCUCAUUCAGGAAGAUCUGGUGUUAAAAUUCCUUCCUCACCUCAUCAAAAAUGUUUAGGACUCCAUCCUAAAUGUUUAGAACCCUAUCAUAAGUGUUUAAAACCUUACCAUAAAUGCUUGAAGCCCACCAAUCAAAGCCUGUCCUACCAGUAUUUCUGUGGACCAGCCCAUGCUCCCUAACCUCUUAAAUCUUACCCCAAAUCCUGAAUCAGGAAUACAGAUCUGAGGGUACAUGCCGCCUGUCUCCCUGAAGAUUGAUUUCACAGAAUAAAAGCUGAUUCUCCCCCAAAGGCUGAUGCCAUAAUUAAUUGGCUUGUUUAUGCACAUCAGGCAGAGAACUCCAAUUUCGUGUGGUAAUGUAACCUUUCAGAUUUGUAUUUUAGAGCCUGUUAUCUCCAUGAAUUAUCCUUGUAGAAAAAGCCUGCCCCUAGAUACCUAGAGGCCUCACCUGCACUGGGCAUCCUGCCGUGAAAGCUUGGGCUGGGUCCCACUGGUCUUUCUCCAUAAAGGACUCAGGAGCCUCAACCCACACCAGGAGCCUCUACAAGAAAGCUCUCAGUCGCCACCCAGCUGGCAACUCUCGGCAACUGGUCAGUGUGGAGGGAAGGUGGGAGCUCUGUGAGCUGGAAGAAAGUGCUGUUGAGACUCAAACUAGGUCUGUGAGUUGGGGGAGCCCUGACUCCAGCUCAGAGAUAUGUGGGGUUUAGGGCAAGGGGUCCUUGGCCUUUGAGUUUUUGUGGGACUGGACAAGGGUAGGGGGUGGGGUCGGGAUAGAGAGAAAAACCAAUGGUUGAAACCUUAACCAUCAUCUUGUUUUCCUUAGAUUACAAUGACCCCACUUGGCUUCCUGCUGCUUCACAUUGUAUUCACCAACCAGGAAGCUCUUUGAACUGCAUCCUUUUGGGUUUUUAUGGAGGCUUCAUUACAUAAGGCAUGAUUGAUUAAAUCAUUGGCCAUUGGUGAUUGAUUCAACUUCCAGCCCCUUUCCUCUUCCGGGGAGGGAGGCUGGGGGACUAAAAGUUCCAAUCCUCUAAUCAAAUGGUUGAUUCCUCUGCUGACCAGUUCCCACCCUUAGGUGACCUAGGGGCAUUCCGAAAGUCACCUCAUUAACACACAAAAGACAUCUUUAUCACUUAGGAAAUUCCAGUGGUUUUAGGAGUUCUGUGCAGAAAAUGAGGACAAAGAACAAACAUAUAUUUCUUAUUAUAAAUCACAAUAUCACAAUCUUGAACCCCAAACUCCCUUUCAGUGUCUACUACCAGAUAAGCCAAUGUGAACACCAGCCCAUGUGUUAACAUACAUGUUAUAUUAUAAUUAGGUAUGAUGAGGCUAGUAGACAGAAAUGUGGGCAAUAGCUUUUAUCGUGGUUUCCAUAGGAAGGAACAGGUGAGGCAGGGUAAGCAGGCCUAGGAUUGGCUAGUUUGAAUAAUUUCAGCAGGUCCUGGAUCAUAGGGCUGUCCCUAGUUGUCUGGUACCUGAUCCUGGGUGACUAGGGCAGGUGGAUAGUGGCCUAGACUAUAAGAUCCCAAAAGACAGGUGGUUGGGGGUAUGGGCCCUGGAUUGCAUAUGAAAGGCACACUCACAACCAAGUUGCUUGCUAUCUUUAGGAAUUAGUUAACCUCCAGUCUGUCCAGUGUCAACAAG
Molecule: long non-coding RNA, 3475 nt
Organism: Equus caballus (horse)
Lineage: Eukaryota; Metazoa; Chordata; Mammalia; Perissodactyla; Equidae
Source: Ensembl